AUCACCACCACACUUAGAAAAAAGAAGCUAAAAUUAAAAACCCUAACGCCUCUUCUUGUUCUCCCUUGAAGCUGCUGUCCCUAAUCUAAAACCAGGUCCGACUGAUCUCUUCCUUGACGAACGGCAAUGACUCUCUCUGGCCGUCAUCGCCCACAGUCCUCCGAGUCAGGUCCAGCAGAUUGAUGACACCAGGAGACACACACAAGCGCAUCAGCAAAAAGAAGAGGGCAAAUCAGAGACCCAUGUACAUUGGCGAGGCUGAGUAGGACACUCUAGUGGAGUACUGGGAAACAGAACCAGAAAAGAAGAAGAGAAAGAAUGCUGGAAACCACUUAUCUAAUCAUGAUGGCAUAGGGGUUCACAAGCAUUGUGUAUGUCCUCGACGUUUUUUGCAGAUUGAGCAUGAGAUGAUGAUUGAUUCUGGUUUGGAUGAAGCACCAGCCUUCACUGAUCUUGUGCGGAGGACACACUGACGCAAAGAUGUAAUUUUCACGGAAGUGCUGAUCUCUGUUUUGGAGAAUAACUUCAAGCGACUCAACACCAAUGUUUAUGGUUAUAGACGAGCUGGUUGCAUCACGACAAGCUCUUAUUCUGUUAAUGUAGUCUCUUGGAGUUAGACAACCCUCUGUUGCUGCUACUCCUGCUACAACUUCUGCUUCUGCUCUGAUGCAGAUUCUACAACUGCUGCACCUACUCCAGGUUCAAACCAAGACAACUUAGAUGCCUGAUGUGCAUCAUUAGAUAUUUAAAUUAUAAGCUAUGAUGUUUAUAGCUUUUAUGUUAAACUUUCGAACAGUUAGACUUUUAUUUUGUAAGUCUUUUUGGUAAUAUGUAAGACAAGAAGAACAAUUAUUUAGUAAGCUCUUUUGGUAAUAUGUAAGAUAAGAUUACUUAUGAUUAUGUUAAAA
Molecule: non-coding RNA, 908 nt
Organism: Camelina sativa (false flax)
Lineage: Eukaryota; Viridiplantae; Streptophyta; Magnoliopsida; Brassicales; Brassicaceae
Source: RefSeq, a predicted model, not a curated record